AGAGUUUGAUCCUGGCUCAGGACGAACGCUGGCGGCGUGCUUAACACAUGCAAGUCGAGCGCGGGGCUUCGGCUCCGAGCGGCGAACGGGUGAGUAACACGUGAGCAACCUGCCCUUGGCUCUGGGAUAGCCUCCGGAAACGGGGAUUAAUACCGGACAUGACCUGCUCCUGCAUGGGGGCGGGUGGAAAGUUUUUUCGGCCAGGGAUGGGCUCGCGGCCUAUCAGCUUGUUGGGGGGGUGACGGCCCACCAAGGCGACGACGGGUAGCCGGCCUGAGAGGGCGACCGGCCACACUGGGACUGAGACACGGCCCAGACUCCUACGGGAGGCAGCAGUGGGGAAUAUUGCGCAAUGGGCGGAAGCCUGACGCAGCGACGCCGCGUGGGGGAUGAAGGCCUUCGGGUUGUAAACCCCUUUCACCAGGAGCGAAGCGGGAGUGACGGUACCUGGGGAAGAAGCGCCGGCUAACUACGUGCCAGCAGCCGCGGUAAUACGUAGGGCGCGAGCGUUGUCCGGAAUUAUUGGGCGUAAAGAGCUCGUAGGCGGCCUGUCGCGUCUGCUGUGAAAUCCCGGGGCUUAACCCCGGGCGUGCAGUGGAUACGGGCUGGCUGGAGGCAGGCAGGGGAGAACGGAAUUCCCGGUGUAGCGGUGAAAUGCGCAGAUAUCGGGAGGAACACCGGUGGCGAAGGCGGUUCUCUGGGCCUGUUCUGACGCUGAGGAGCGAAAGCGUGGGAGCGAACAGGAUUAGAUACCCUAGUAGUCC
This 764-nucleotide ribosomal RNA is filed under the name uncultured bacterium. Its description in RNAcentral is "bacterial SSU rRNA". It matches the Rfam family "Bacterial small subunit ribosomal RNA", at positions 8 to 796 of the family's 1533-position model. The record is from RNAcentral.